Molecule: ribosomal RNA, 1359 nt
Filed under: Arthonia sp. 'granithophila'
Lineage: Eukaryota; Fungi; Ascomycota; Arthoniomycetes; Arthoniales; Arthoniaceae
Description: Arthonia granithophila partial large subunit ribosomal RNA
Rfam family: Eukaryotic large subunit ribosomal RNA
Source: RNAcentral
UAGAGUGAUCGAAAGAUGAAAAGCACUUUGGAAAGAGAGUCAAACAGCACGUGAAAUUGUUGAAAGGGAAGCUCUUGCUGCCAGACGUGCCGCGGUCGNUCAGCCGCCCCCCCGGGGUGGUGCACUCGGCCGCGGCGGGCCAGCGUCAGUUCGGGCGGUCGGAGAAAGGCCCGGGGAAGGUAGCUCUCUGCGGGGAGUGUUAUAGCCCCGGGCGUCAUGCGGCCAGCCCGGUCUGAGGCCCGCGUUCGCGAGGACGCUGGCGUAAUGGUCGCAAGCGACCCGUCUUGAAACACGGACCAAGGAGUCUAACAUCUGUGCGAGUGUUCGGGUGUCAAACCCGUGCGCGUAAUGAAAGUGAACGGAGGUGGGACCCCCGUCUUGGGGCGCACCAUCGACCGAUCCUGAUGUCCUCGGAUGGAUUUGAGUAAGAGCAUAGCUGUUGGGACCCGAAAGAUGGUGAACUAUGCGUGUUUAGGGUGAAGCCAGAGGAAACUCUGGUGGAGGCUCGCAGCGGUUCUGACGUGCAAAUCGAUCGUCAAAAAUGCGUAUAGGGGCGAAAGACCAAUCGAACCAUGAGAGUGCUUGGGGCGCGAGCCCGCGCAGCGCGAAUUGAGCAGUAAUUCUUUGCGUCUACUAGGUGGUUAGGAGACCGGUACGGUCUAGUUGCUAGACUUGCCCUCGCGGGCGGCAAGACCCUAGAAGCAACGUCACCUAAAUGCAGGAACGUCUCGCUAGCCGACUGACUACCGCCGUUCUUAGAGGAGGGUGGCACCGGCGUAUUAGAUGCUGGGUACGGUAAAAACGCCAGCCGGUGGAGAUGACCCGCAGCCAGGCCCCUAGGCGACAGUCGUAUCUCGCCAGGGGUCCAGUUCACAGGCUAUACGGUGACGGGCAGAGAACCCUCCGCAGACAUUCGCAGGCGUCUCUGCUCAAGAUAUAGUCGAAUUCCCCCCCGUAAGGGGGGGUGCAAGCGGCAGGUGAGAAGAACCAAUAAGGCUAGUAGCUGGUUCCCGCCGAAGUUUCCCUCAGGAUAGCAGUAACGUCCGCAGUUUUAUGAGGUAAAGCGAAUGAUUAGAGGCCUUGGGGUUGAAACAACCUUAACCUAUUCUCAAACUUUAAAUAUGUAAGAAGCCCUUGUUGCUUAAUUGAACGUGGGCCGUCGAAUGCACCGUUACUAGUGGGCCAUUUUUGGUAAGCAGAACUGGCGAUGCGGGAUGAACCGAACGCGAGGUUAAGGUGCCGGACUGCACGCUCAUCAGACACCACAAAAGGUGUUAGUUCAUCCAGACAGCCGGACGGUGGCCAUGGAAGUCGGAAUCCGCCAAGGAGUGUGUAACAACUCACCGGCCGAAUGAACUA